Molecule: ribosomal RNA, 253 nt
Filed under: uncultured bacterium
Lineage: Bacteria
Description: partial 16S ribosomal RNA
Rfam family: Bacterial small subunit ribosomal RNA
Source: RNAcentral
GACGAACCGUGCGAACGUUGUUCGGAAUCACUGGGCUUAAAGGGCGCGUAGGCGGGCUAUCAAGUCCGGGGUGAAAUCCUCCAGCUUAACUGGAGAACGGCCUCGGAUACUGAUGGUCUCGAGGAGGAUAGGGGCACACGGAACUGUGGGUGGAGCGGUGAAAUGCGUUGAUAUCCAUAGGAACUCCGGUGGCGAAAGCGGUGUGCUGGAUCCUUUCUGACGCUGAGGCGCGAAAGCCAGGGGAGCAAACAGG